This 253-nucleotide ribosomal RNA is filed under the name uncultured bacterium. Its description in RNAcentral is "partial 16S ribosomal RNA". It matches the Rfam family "Bacterial small subunit ribosomal RNA", at positions 524 to 776 of the family's 1533-position model. The record is from RNAcentral.
UACGUAGGGGGCAAGCGUUGUCCGGAAUCAUUGGGCGUAAAGCGCGUGUAGGCGGCUUGGUAAGUCCGUUCUGAAAGCCCGGGGCUCAACCCCGGGAGGCGGAUGGAUACUGUCAAGCUUGAGUCCGGAAGAGGCGAGUGGAAUUCCCGGUGUAGCGGUGAAAUGCGCAGAUAUCAGGAGGAACACCGAUUGCGAAGGCAGCUCGCUGGGACGGUACUGACGCUGAGACGCGAAAGCGUGGGGAGCAAACAGG